CUCACCCUAGCUCAGCUCUGCCAAGGGGACUCGGCUCUCAGACCUCAGCCACGGGGAUUUCCUGUCAGGCUAGCGCGCUGCUGGGCUGCAGCUCAUGUCUCCCCCACCCCCAAGUUCACCCACCACCUAGAGAUGCAAGAAAUUAGUUUUAAAUAAUGUCACUUGCCCAUACCCCCUUUCCCCAAGCUGGUCCCAUCUCUCACACACCCGUGUGGCCUGGGCUGCGAGUCGUGGAGGAGCAUCCCGGGGGGUUGCGGUGGGGCGCCGCGCCGAGGCUUGCCUCCGCGGGCGCCCGUUCAGGCUCGGGCUCAGCCCUGGGCAGCCCGCCCGUGCAUCGUUCGCUCGGUGCAGAAAUCCUACCGCCCGUGCGCCCUGGGCGCGCCGCCGGGCCCCGCGCCGGCUCCCCGGGAAUGCGGCCGUCAGGUGAGUUUCUCCUUCAGCGGCAAAAAGAGAGAUCGCAGGAAUCCAUGCCCAGUUCCAGCCUAACUCGGUCCACAGGCAGAGAGAGAAUUAUGAAUGGAUGCUGCCUUCUGAUGAGGAAGUCGACUGGGGAGGUCUCUGCGCACGGCGCGCUCCAUCAAAGCAGGGGCAUUGGCCCCUCCACUGCUUCAAUGCUGCAGGCUGAGCCACCUAAUUGACCACUGGGAAAUCAGGUGCCGGGAGACCUGGGCGGGACGUAGCCCCGGGGCCACGCUGGCAUCGAGCGCCUUGCCGGCGUAGACAGCUUCGAUUUACAGCCCAGUGAAUGGAGAGGACUGCGGCAGCCAAACCUCCCGGGCAGCAGGCACGGUUGCACCAACGCUCCGCAUGCAGCCACCAGGCUCCACGAACAUCUCCUGGCUCCACCGGGCUAACGGGAACCUAGCUGAAAAGAAUCUGUCCCCUGCCGCCAGCCGCAGUGAGCUGCAGGACUCAGCCCCCAGCCCCAAACUCAGCAGCGCGCGGGAGCCGGUCACAAAGCCUGGCCUGUGCGCUUAGACGAGCUGGAGGUUGCGGAGGAUCCCGGAUCCGGAUUUCUUGUACCUGUGCGUUUCCUUCUCCCGUAGCGCGACCGUUGGGGCUGCGCGUAACCCAUGCCCAGAGUGGCGGCGGGCUUGGUACAUCACCAACAGGCUGGACCGACCGCAGCUGCUCAGCACCGCACCCCCGUGGCUCCCCUCUCACCUCCCUUGUCCCCAGUCUCUGGCCAACAGUAGAGGAAUCAGAGACGCCAACCAUGCCAAUCCUGCCAUCGGGGGACAGAGGAUGGACAGGGACCGGCGUAGAGCAUGUGCCUGCAUGUAACAGGAACAGAGCUGCCCGAAAAAUGUGACAUUGCGUCCCCUCCCCCCAUUCAUCUCCGGACGCUGAAGCCUCACAUCCUAGACACAACUCACUCUGCCCAGGCUUAAAAACACUGCAAGGACAAUGCCUUUGCAGCCAUGUAUUAAUCUCCAGGGAAGGGUGAUUUACUAAACCAGCUCUGAGGUUGAACCAGGAUUAAAAACCAUGGCAGUGUGUGCCCAUGCCUUAGGCUGGCAGGUUCUAUAUAUAACAACCUAAUGCAGAAGGCAGAGUCAUUUAGGGCCACUUAAAGCAUAGCACUUAUGGGAUAUAGCCUAAUAUAUAACAAGGGGAAACCCAGUGAAUGAAAUUAUCCAAAGAUGCCUUGUGGAAUGCUGUCUUGGUCAUCUGUCUGAAGGCCUUUGAAACACAUUUAGGGAAAGCUUGACCAUUUUCUGACUGGGCUGCUUAUUUUCAAAUAGGGAGGUUUAUGCCCUGGGCAGAUUUGCACGUGUGAGCAGUAUUAUGUCCCCAGGUCUGUAACUCCUUCGUAAUGCACAAUUGUGGUAAAAACUUAUCUAGCCAAGGUCACAAGAAAUCACAGGGUCUGUAUGAGCAUUAGUAAAAAAAAAAAUAUUUCCUAAUUGGCAUUACUAUGAAUUAAUGAUUGUGGUCACAUAAAGUAUCACAUUGAACCCAAGUUAGUCUGGGUUGGCUGUUCUCCUCCAACCCCAUUCAAUGCCAACCUCCUUGGAGGGCUGCCAGCUCCCAGCAAGGACAGAGAAUCUGGCUGGAGUCCCCCUGGAAAGCAGUAUGUCUAGGACAGGAAGGUGAGAGGAGGUAAGAGGCGAAGGCAUAGCCACUUUCCCAGUGAAGGUGAGAAGAGAGCCAUGAACCCCAAAGUUCAAAGGGUGGAUGGGCAAAGGAGGAGGCCACCAGAGAGGGAGACAGAAAGAUGAGUCAGAGAAGCAGGAGCUCAGGAGGGUGGGGGAUGGGCCCCCACCUCAGAAGCCAGGAGGCGAGUUUCCAGAAGAAAGUGGGAUCAAGAAUGCCAAAUCAUGGAGAGAUCAGUGGGAGGAGUUCUGCCUGCCAAGGGCUGACCUGGACCCAGGCUUUGGGAAGGCCUGAGGGAUGGGAGGUGUGGGGUAUGUGGGAAGCCCACUUGGAGCUUCUAAAUAUAAAAAGCAAGUCUUUUCCUUAGCCUUGCUCCUUGAGGACCACCAGCAGUGGCAGCACCUGGAGGUUUGUCAGAGAUGCACAUUCUUAGGCCCCACCUAGACCUGCCACAUCACAGGGGGGGGGGUUGGCCACCAUCUGUGUGGUGACAAACUUCAUAGAUCAAGUUCAUUUGGGGAAUGGGAAGCCCCACCAUGUAUUGGCUCCAACCUCUCAGGCCUUGAAAUGGGAAUUUAUGUUAGGGUGAGCGAAAUGGUCGCCCUCUGCAGCAAUCCCUGGCAAGAUCAUGAGUGGCUGGUGGCCAAGUCACUAAUCACACACCCCAAGGAGAUGAAUUACCUUGCUCUGGGUUUUCAGGUCUGCUCUAUCAAGGGAGAGCCUGGAUGAUGAGGUCUGGAGAAUUCCAAAAUGCAAUGAAACUGGCCAAGUCUUUCCCCCUUUGUAUCAAUAUUUACAACAAUGAAGUGGUUGUUAACAAAGAUGAUGGAAAUAAGACUAUAACCAGAUUGUUUAAAUUUGAAUAAGGUUUUAACAAAUCCCAUGGCAUAAAAGGGGAAAAAAAACAUGGACUUUGAACCCAGAAAGACCUAUGUGUGAAUCUUAGCUCCUCCAGCCCUUAGCAGUGUAGCUUUGAAAAAAUUAUUUGACUUCUUGAAUCUCGGUUUCCUUCUUUAAAAAUGAAAACAAGAAUAUCUCAUUUAUAGGGUUGCUGAGAAGAGUAAAUAAAAUGAUAAACAUAAAGCACAAUGAUGGUACCUGGUACAUAUUAAAAACUCAAUGAAUGUA
This is a non-coding RNA of Ictidomys tridecemlineatus (thirteen-lined ground squirrel), 3225 nucleotides long. NCBI's taxonomy places the organism in Eukaryota, Metazoa, Chordata, Mammalia, Rodentia, Sciuridae. The record is from RefSeq and is a predicted model, not a curated record.